GCCGGGCAUGGUGGCACGUGCCUGUAAUCCCAGCUACUCUUCAGGGGGCUGAGGCAGGAGGAUCACUUGAACCUGGGAGUUGGAGGUUGCAGUGAGCCAAGAUGGCGCCACUGCACUCCAGCCUGGGUGACAGAGUGAGACUCUGUCUCAA
Molecule: non-coding RNA, 151 nt
Filed under: Homo sapiens (human)
Lineage: Eukaryota; Metazoa; Chordata; Mammalia; Primates; Hominidae
Source: Rfam by way of RNAcentral